Daucus carota subsp. sativus is the source of this 73-nucleotide non-coding RNA. NCBI's taxonomy places the organism in Eukaryota, Viridiplantae, Streptophyta, Magnoliopsida, Apiales, Apiaceae. The record is from Rfam.
UUUGUGCCUGUGAUGGUUUAUAAAUAUACUUUGAGUAAUUCAACUAUGAAAACAAUUAAAUCUGAGGCUCCUU